This is a small nuclear RNA of Trichechus manatus latirostris (Florida manatee), 106 nucleotides long. NCBI's taxonomy places the organism in Eukaryota, Metazoa, Chordata, Mammalia, Sirenia, Trichechidae. The record is from RefSeq and is a predicted model, not a curated record.
GUACUUGCUUCAGUAGCACAUAUACUAAUGCUAGAAAGAUACAGAGACGAUAAGCAUCACUCCUGCACAAAGUGACACACUAAUUCAUGUACUGCAUCAUAUUUUU